Molecule: long non-coding RNA, 1923 nt
Organism: Drosophila sulfurigaster albostrigata
Lineage: Eukaryota; Metazoa; Arthropoda; Insecta; Diptera; Drosophilidae
Exons: 2
Source: RefSeq, a predicted model, not a curated record
CUAGAAAUUUAAAAUCUAUCAAUAUCUUCCCACACUAAAAACUACUCUUAAAAAGUCAUUUAGCUUCAGUUCAAAAAUAACCAAAAAUGCAGAUAAUCCCAGCCAUUAUUCUCUCGCCUAAUUCAAAUGCCUUAAAUCUUGCGCACAAUGAAUGAAAAGAGCUGACGAUAAACAUUUAAUACAAUAAAUUCGUCCACUAUUAUUAACUGUUGCCACAACAAUGCUAAUGACGCAAUAAAAUUAUUUUUAAUCUGCAAAGCGACAUCUAUCGGUACUAACGGAUCUACAUAAAAUAAUAUAAGCCAUUUGAUUUGAUAUAUAUGGGCAAUUUAAUUAUAGUCGGCGAUCCGACAAGUGCUCUAAAUAAAAUUGAUGUGAUUUAUAAUGCAAGCAAACAGUAAAGCAAAACUGUCGCAUUCAUUACUGUAUGACAUUUAUACACAAAAGGAUGUUCAUACAUACAUAUAUACAUUUCAAACUGUAUAUCCGUUCGUCAUUCAUUCACCUUCUUCAUUUUACAGUUGCCGAUUGUUCAAGUAAUGAAAUAAACCCAGUGUUAAGUGUCGCUUUUAGCUGUCGUUGCUGUUUACGUAUAUUUUAAAGCGCGCUCUGUCGUCGAGUUUGCGCACUAAGCACUACAGCGACAGCCUGUACACAAACCCAAACUGUCAAACUGUCGUCGUGCCUAGCGGGGAAGAAGCGAACUAAAUAACUGGCUUUUAUAACCAGCCCAGCUAACGAGCGAGGUUUGACACAAAACUACAUAGCUACCUGAUCUUCUCUUAUGGGAAUUUUAUGAUUAGUUUUUCAGUUGAAAUUGAGCAUAUUGUUGUAGAUUUGUGUUAAAUUUAUUGAGUAAAAGUAAUGUUAAAAUAAAAUUACUAGCUAAGACCCAUUACUAAUUUUUAGUUUAAAUUAUCUGAUAUGUUUUUAAAUAAGCAUAAAUGUAUAUUCAAAAUUGAUGAUGUACACACGCACAGACGCAAUGGCUGCCGAAGGCAUAAUGGCCGCCGCCUCGUGGCAUUGGCCAACCACCACCGUCGGCGAAUGAUGGCAGUACGCAUGUCGCAUGAAAAAAGAUACACACACAGCGCAGAGCAGAGCACAAGCCCUGCCCCUCGACUGAGCCAAGCAGCAGGUGAAGGAAAGAAAGAAAAAAAUAACUUUAGAGCUUGAGUGCGCGUUAAUGAACUCAUGCAACUGCAAUCAGAAUUUAUUGUGGCCAGCCACAGCUCCCACUUCAACUCUCUUGCUAUAGCUAGACCGUAAACCAACCGCGAGUGAAUUUAUGAAAUUAUAGCCGCAAUUACACAGGACUGUGAGCUGCAGAUGGAGCUGGAGCAGGUGCGAGGAGCGAAGUACGAAGUGCGAGUUGCCAGCCAAGGCACGCAAUGCAUUGAUGACGACAUACAUACUACAUAGAUGUCCCAGUCCUGCUCCUGUUCUGGAUGUCGAUGGCUGGCGCUAAUGACUUUAGUGCCGCUAAUAAAUCCAUUCAAGCGCACAAACAGAGCAAGCUCUUCCUUCAUCGAGUGCUCGUGCCAUUAAGUGCGCCAUCAACGCUCAAUUGAGGAGAUUCCAUCAUAAAACGGACACAGGCAAAAGGACAGAGUCCUUGGCGCGACGUUGUGCAAUUAACACCUGAUCGGUAACGAAGUGUGCACGAUGCUGAGGUGUGUGUGUGUAAAGUGUAUGAGUGCGAGUAUAUUGACCUCAUAUAACAUUCUGCUGCAUGAGUUUAUCAAGAUUGUUAAAUGGCUCUCAAGAAAAUAAAUGCAAUGGAGCGAUUGCAUGAAAUUAAAAUUAUCUAGGCUAAUUUAGAUCGAUAUCUGACUAAGAAUUUUGACAAGAAUUAAUUUCAACAGCUUUAAAUGUGAUUCAAAUUUCUGUUUUCAAAUAUUAACCGAAAUAAAACCACUUGAU